ACAAUUUCAAGAGUUUUAGAGCCCAAUUCGGAUUAGUUCAUUAAGCCUAGGGACCCUUCUAGACUCUUCUUUGGCACCAAAAACAAAUAAAAAAGACCCUAAGGACUUAACACAAAAAAACCUAGGGACUAAUUGGAAAAUACACAAAAAUAAUAACCUAAACCUAGACUCUACAUAAAGAGAACACCUAAAAAAUCUGAAGGGAUGGGGCAGGACGCCUGUAAAUGAGCUAGCCAACAAAUGAAACCAGCCAUUGUUUCUGAUUUGGAGAACACCCCUAGUCAGCCGCAACACCCAUAGAAUUAUCGAGGACUCCAUCGUCAAUGUCUUUGAAUUUUAAAGAAAAACCAUAAUAAUUUUUCCAUCACUUUUAUUUCAUGCUAAAAUCACCCAAAAAACUCCACAUCUGCCAACUCCCCCAAACCUUAAACCCACUUCUAAAUCCCUUUCCAUCCUGUCAACCUCAACUCACCCCACAAAUAGAUAAACACACACAUAGAGCAACAAAAAAGUGACAAAAUUGAAGGGAAUUAAGAACUAACAAAUAAAGGAACGGACACUACCUAGCUGCAAAGAACAGGGAACGAAGCAGAGAGGGAAGUGAGGAUGGAUGAAAUUUGAUUUCAAGAGAAUGGAUAUUGUAAAAUAUUUAGAUCUAUCCUACUUCACUCUUUCACUGAUGGUCAAAAUCCUAGAAAACAUCACCUUAGCUUAGUGAGGAAAGCAGCAAAGAACAAUUCUUAUUCUCCAAAUUUGUACUGUUCAAACUUCACAGAGAAGGUGGGUUUUCGUUGAGUCGAGUUUUCCGUUGCCAUCGAGGUUCUUCGGUCCGGGUUUUCACUCAUAUACCCUUGCUGUAACUGGAAAGGCUGUCAAUCUUUGAGGUCAAUUUCCUACUCUAAUCUUAAAUUUCCUCUCUGUUUUCUCGUUUCUUAGCUUCGACGAUUAUGUUUGCCAUGUGAUUGUUCUGCUUGUUUCAUUGUUUGCUUAAAACGUUCUUAUAAGUCUAGAGAAUCUGAUGCAUAUUACUCUUGGCUCAUGUUGUUAUCUAACCUGUUGAGAAAUAGUGUUUGAUUUUAAAAUUGUGUAAAGGCUUUUCCUUUCAAAAGUUAAAAAAAUGAUUCUUCUUCGGAUAGAAUUUACUGGAGUAUAUAAUGAGCCAUAUGUUAUAUGAAUAUUGAUAAUAUAGUAAUCUCUUAAAAAACUUGGCCAUUUCUGAUGUCUAUAGUCUGCGCGCGCACAUUCACCCUUUGUGGUUGUGCAUCUCGUUAUGAAAUAUGGGAGCCAUCAUUAGUCGGGAUAAUUUGAACAUUCAAUGGAUUUAGUUUUGUAAUUCAAUUUUUUUUUAAAUAAAGAAUUCAUGGGAAUUAGGAGUUUGUAUAAUAAUGGAAAGAGAAGAUCAGGUCAUUAAUCUGGCCUUAACAAGAUAGUCAGUGCUUGGUUCUUUAAUAGGUAUUUUUCUCCGAAAAUAAUUACAAAAGCUAAGUCACAUUAUCUCUCCCAUAAUAAUCAUCCAUAAUUCAUGGCUUCAUGUUCAUCCCAAAUCUUAGGAAUACUCAAAUUGCGAAUGUCAUAGCUUGUUUUAGGCGCGAUUAAUAGUAAAUUGUCGUGACUAUGGGCACGGUUCCCAUGGCAUGGUCACGAUACAUAAAUAUCAAUUUGGGUGCGCAUUUAUGUGACCCAAACCUAAAUCUCAACAAUGUUAUAUAAAAUGUGUUGCGGACUACGGGUGCAUUUAUGUGACGUGGUUCAAGACAUAUUUUAAAUGACGUUGCAAUCUUCCUAAAAUGAAUAAAAGCGGUUAAAAAGUUAAAAUUGAACCAUAGGUUAAAACAUGUACUUAAAAUCAGUAAAUAGGCCAAAUAUAACAGUUGAGCGACCGUGCUAGAACCACGGAACUCGGGAAUGCCUAACACCUUUUCCCGGGUUAACAAAAUUCUUUACACGGAUUUCUGUAUUGGCGGACUGUAAAAUAGAGUCAAUCUUUCCUCGAUUCGAGAUUUAAAACCGGUGACUUGGGACACCAUAAAUUAUCCCAAGUGGAGACUCUGAUUUUAAACAAAUAACCCUGUUUCGAUUGUCACUUAAAUUGAAAAAAACUCCCUUAUACACCCUCUCAGGGUGUAGGUAAAAAGGAGGUGUGACAUGGGGCACUCCCGAUGUUAAAGGGUUUGGAUUCAAAAAAGUUCGUGCAAAAGCCUUUUCCGUAGAGUGCAGCUCCGAAGCCCAUUUCUAAGAAGCUCCGUAUGCUGGAUAUACCUAAAUAAAAUGGACCACCGAUCCUAAUGAACACAUCACUUCGUACACAUGCGAAAUAAAGGGAAAUGACUUAAAAGACGAUGAUAGCGAGUUUGUUUUGUUGAAAAUAUUUGGGGAAAUACUAUCAAAGGGAGCUUUGAUUUGGUAUCGCAGCUUGCCACCAAAUUCCAUCGACUCAUUUGCCAUGUUAGCAGAUUCUUUUAUGAAGGUACACGUCGGGGCCAUAAAGGUCGCAACAAGAAAAUUGGACAUUUUCAAGAUAAGACAAAGGGAUAACGAAAUGUUGAGGGAGUUUGUAUCCCAAAUUCAAAUAGAACGCAUGGAGUUGCCAUCGGUCACAGAUGAUUGGGCCGUUCAAGCUUUCACCCAAGGGUUGAACGAGCGGAGUUUGAUAGCAUCAUGACAGUUGAAACAAAAUUUGGUCGAGUAUCCAGCUAUAACUUGGGCCGAUAUGCACAAUCGAUAUCAAUCGAAGAUCAGGGUCGAGGAUGACCAAUUAGGAUCCCCUUCCGGUUCAGUACAUCCAAAUAGGUUGGCAGUUAAAAUCCCGAGGGACAUCGACAAGGAACCAAGGUCGAACAGAGAGUGAUAUCAACCAUAUACCGCAGAUCGAAGGAACAAUAGCUCGGGAAGCAAUCCCUCCCAGAAUGAUCGAAGAAACGAUCGAGGAUAAAAUUUUCGAGGGCUUAUAAGGAAAAGUGGUUUUGAAAAGCAUGUCGAUCCCGUAGAGGCAGCACACUCGCCAUUUGUUGAUCACGACAGGAAAUAUCUUUUACCCCCGAUUGCUUGGGGACUUUGUUCGGAGUACCUUCUGAGAUCUCUUCGGCCCGAGGGUAAAUCUCCGUGGCCAUCACCGGCCCAGCCGUCAUUGAAGCUUUGAUGCUCCCCCUCUAUCGAGAGACCAUCUCACAACCGGCGUCCUCCCCCUUCUCCUCUUCAUCUCGUAGCUUUUGGGCUACGCCAACAGAAAGUGUAGCAGAGUCGCCCAUCGGCUUACGAGCCCUGCUCUUAUUUGGCUCCGGGGUAUCAGAAGGUGAGGUCCUUCUCUUCUUCUUGUCCUUGGCCAAUUUGAGAACCACCUCUCCCCCAGGCGGGGCUGGCCUCAAUUCAGAAACAUCCCCGAGGCCUGCGUAGAAGGGAAUCAAAUAUGUAUGAAAGAAUUGUUUCAGAAAGGGACGUCGUAAGCAUACAUGAUAAACUUACCGUGAUUUUUAGCCUCCUAUUUACCCUUCGCCAGGUCAUGCCAGCCAAGCUCGGCGUAGGAGGAAGUUGCAGCCAGAUUCCAAACCCAGUCUUCGAGGUCAGGGACCGCGUGGGGCAUCCAGGAAACCGCUGCCUAACCCAUAAAAAUGUCACACAAAGCAAAAAAUAAAGCACGAAGAUUAAUGGCUAACACUUACGUUUGGGGUUCCACUUCUCGGGGAACGAUAGCUUCUCCUCGGGGAUAAGGUCAUAGGUCCUUACCCACACGAACCAGCUCAUCCAACCUCGGUCCUUGUCUUUAUCGAUACUUGUAAAAAAAGACUCUGAUGAUCGGCGUUGAAACUUGAUCAAUCCCCGGUAAAGUUUUGGUCGAUACAGUCGUAUAAGGUGGCUGAGAGUAAAUUCCAAUCCCUAAGCCUUACCAGAGAAGAAGCGGAGCAUAAUUACUAUGCGUCAUAAUAAGGGAUGCACCUGGCCUAGGGUAACCUGGUACAUCUUGCAAAAGUCAAUGGUAACUGGGUCAAGAGGACCCAAUGUGAAGAGGUAAGUGUAAACACUUAGAAACCUCUCCACAUGAGUGGUGAUGCUUUCCUCGGGGGUGGGGAUCUGUACCACGACCUCGGCCCCCAGUUGCAAUCUUCCUUCACAGCAUCGAGCUGUUUCGCCGUUACCGAGCAAAUAUACCUCGAUACGUGUUCACAUCGGCCAGGGACCGAUGGAGGGUUAUUGACUUUAAAGUCAUUUUUUAGAACACAAGGUUCAGGAACAAUCUCAUGAAUGAGCAGUUCCACCGGCGUUUUGUCACCGGUCAGCCGGGAAGAAGAAGAAGAAGAGACGUUCUCCUUUUGAGGGACGGCUUUGGAGGUUUUCGCCAUUGAUUCAGAUGAGAUGAAGCGGAAAGAAGUGGAGUUUGUCAUUUUUGGUCCUAAAAGAUUGAUCAACGGGCGGUGGAAGAGAAGAGAUGGAGAGAUGAAAAUACUUAGAGAAAUUGCUCAAGAUGGAAGUAAAGUUUGAUUCAAAUGAGAAACCUAUAUUUGUAGGUUCACGACGACGGUUCGAUACCGCUAGUGGCCGACCAUCACUAACAAGAUUUUAAUAUUUUGGGAAAACGAACCAACGGAAAGUUUCGGUCACCUCGAGCGCUUACGUCAUGGGGAUGACAUCAUCAUCGGGCCUCUAGAAAAUUUAGGUUCAAAUCGUUUCUUAUCAUUUUAUUCUAAGAAACGAGGGGACUAUCUGUAUACGGUGGAAAUUGGGGCUGCCCGAUUUCGUUCUUCGAUGGAAAAAGUGAUACCACGUCGGGAGGCCAGGACGCCGAGCUCGAGGUCGAAGCUCCUUUUCAAUAUCGAGGUCGAUAUCAUUUACCGAGGUCAGAAGAAGGCAUGCUUCGAGAUGAUACCAUUAUGAUUCAAUAACAGAAAGAGCGAGAUACCCGCAACGGGCCGGAGAUCACGGCGUAAAUUUCGGAAUGGAUUGGUCUUUGGCGGUUAGACAGCUGUCAAAUAUGAUUUCUUACUGUUAUUAGAAGUGUACCUUAUUUAGGACUCUUCUAUUAUAUAAAGGAGGAUCUCAUUCAUUUGUAACGACUAUUUUUUGCUGAUAAGAAAAUAUACGCACAUUAUCCUCUUGCUAUUUUACUUACUGUUCUUUAGAGUUGCUUUAUCAUUUAUUCCCAUCAGCAUACCUCGAGACUGUCAUAGGUCGAGGUCAAGAUUUUGCCUACACAUUGGUUUGAUCUAUCUUGUUCCUUAAUUUAUCUAUUUAGUUCCUUGUUUAUCAAUUGGCAUUGAAUUAAAUCACAUAUUCUUAAAACCACAAUACAAGUUUAAUUGUUACUCGAAUUUUAGGGUAAACAUCAUUAAUAACUUGUUGAUGCCUGUUAAUUAUAUUGCUCAAUAACACUGAAGACAUUAAUUCCCCCGUUGCCCUCUCUGUUACCAAGAAGUUUUCAUAUCCUAUUAUAGGUGACAUUCUGUUCGAAGAAAUUAGGGAGUAUCUCAAAGGAAGUGUCCCUCAUUGAUUAGGAAGAAAAAGGAAAAAAGGGAUUGGACUUGCACACCGCAAGGCAAAAUGGAAAAAAAAAAAUGACACUAUAUAGUCGGUGUAAAAAUAAUAGCUGAAAAAAUAUAUGUAUAUAUAUAUACACACACAAAAAUAAUAUACAAAAAUUAUACAAGUUUUAUACACUUUUUCGGCUACCAAAUGUAAAUAGUUUCUGGGGCGGGCUAAAAGUGAUAAUACCCCCAAAAUUUACAACUGGUAAUUGAAAAUUAGCCACAAUUUCAAAAGUAAUCGAAAUUUAGCAACUUUUCCAUAUGAAAAUAAAAUUUAAACAAAAACACCCUUUGAAAUCUAAAAAAAUUCCAGCAUAAUAUGCUCGAGUUCGAAUUUUUUACAUAUGAGAUUUCAGCAUUACAUGUUGGAAUUCAUAAUGUGCUAAACUUCCAACAUAAUAUGUUGGAAGUUUAUACGUAAGAGUUCCAUAAGCAAACAUAUUAUGCUGAAACUUUCUCUGUUUCAUCUUGGGUACUUUUGUCCAGAUUUUAUCUCCGCCUUAAAUAGUAACUAUUUUGCAAUAACUUUGCAUACACUAACUAUUUUUCAAUAACCACACAUAAAAAGGGCUAUGCCAUGCCAUUUUGACAGCAAAAUGGGUCGAAUUCAACACAACACACACCCCCCCCCCCCAAACAAGGUGCAAAAUAGACGUGAUUUUUUUAAUUUCAUUAUGCCUUACCUUGAAAUAGUUCACUAGCCAGGCUCAAGAGUAUGUCCUAUUUUCCAAAUGCAUUACUUUUAUGGUACAUGUUUUUCAAGGAAUGUAAAAAGUGAAGAACAUGUAGAUCACUUUUCCUUCCAGUGUUUUGUGGGUUCUUUGGAAGGAAAGAAACAAAGAUUUUCGAAGGAGAACUGAAUCUUUGUAUAAUCUGAAAUAUAUAGGUAUUUAUAACAACUAGCCAUGCGGUGCAAUCUCAAGAAUGUUUAAGAAAUACAUACUCUAAUUGACGUCACUACAGCUCAUCUGGCACAAAUUUUGUAAUCUCCCACCAAUAUCUUAAUGCUGGUUUCUGCUCAUUAAUAUAAAUUCUUCUGUUACUGAUUUUAAGAAGGUUAAGGUGAUAACAGAAUAAUACUAUAACAAUGAAAGAAGGUUCACAAUUAGCAAAAUCAACUAGAAUUUACAGGCCAGUCUCCUAGGAAGCAGCAGCUACUGCUUCUGUUGUUUUCUCCUUCUCUUUGACUGCUUUCUUCCAGUUUUCUGCACUAUCGAUGAUUUCCCCAGUUUUUAUGAGGUAGCGGACCCUUUUUCCAUUGUCUAGUGUUUUAUGACCCACCCGACUGGCAACCUUCUGCUCUUUCGAGUAAAGCAUCACGUUUGAGCUAUGAAUAGGAGCUUCAAUCUGAAAACGUUAACACAAAAAGUUACUUUCUUGGUAGGUCAAGGGUUUAUCCAAUGCUAGUCAAGACCAAACGAAAAGCUCAAGAACACAAUUUUCAGGCAAGUUAGAGAAGAGAGGAAUCAAAAUAAAACCUUGACUAUCUGGCCUGGUUCAUCCUCACUCCUACUCUUCACAUGCUUGGUUUUCAAGUUCACGUCUUUUACUACUACUUUGCUGUUGUGCUUGAUGAUCUCGGUGAUCUCCCCAACCUUACCUUUAUCAUGACCGGAUAUUACCUUUACUGUAUCUCCCAACUUAACAUGCAUUUUGUGUAGUACUGGAAGGCUGUUUGGCUUACACUCUUUCCGCUCCCAUCGCUUAAGCUGCAAAAUAGACAAAAAAGAUUGUUCUUAUUCAAUGAUAAAACUAAUUGUAAUCACGGAUACUGGUAUUUCAUCUACAGAAUAUCAUACUCCCGAUGCAAGUGAUAUAUCAGUUUCCUAACAAGUAACAAUUAGUCCCCAAGAUCAGCAAUAGAAAACAUGGAAAUUGUUAAAAACUGUUAAUGAUUUAGUUUAAGCACUUCCCUCAUUAGGUCAUAAGUUAUAAAAGAAGUGCAUGACCGCAUAGCGGUAACCCUAUAAAAGUAGCUGCAGCAAAAAAAUUCUUGGACACAAUUACACAAAUAUUAAAAGACCAGAAAAUGAACAAGAUACCAACCUUUGCUUGAAUCAGACAUGGACCUUCUGUUGAUUUGACCUGCAUAGUGUCAUAUGGAGAUCAUCAUUCAAGUGGUGAAAGAUUAUUCUAUGUUUGCUGUUUGAUGCAGCAAAAAUUGGCAAAUUGUGUAAAGCACGUAUGGUAACCAAAGAGGACAGGGUAGACAAUUGCAAUGAAGAGCAUUAGUGCAAUAAGAGCAACUGAGCAACUGCAUUUCCUGGAGACAAAUCUCAUUCCAUAUUUUGCUUUCUAUUGCUUAUGAUUUUACAGGCAUGUAUGCAACAAUUUUAUCACUGUUUGUGAUCCGUCAUGGUGAACAUGUCGGAAAGAUAGCAAAGAUAUGACAACAGUUGUAUUAUCGAAAUAAUACGUAAAUAAAAGAAAUGUUCCCUUAAAGACUCGUUUAAAAAUAAUAAUAAAUGGUACAGCAAAGUUUAUCAGCGGCAUAGCAUCUUAGCACAAGUGUUCAAGUAUAUACGCGCAACUUCUCCAAUCAGAUGCACACUGAAUCAAGAAGUAAUACAACUAGAAUGGUCGAGCAUGUUCUGUCGUCAUAUUUGACUUGGUACGUAGUUUAAGAUAUUAGUUUGAUUUAUAUAUUACAUUAGUGAUGAUAGAUAAAAAUAUCAAAGCAAUGGUUGAGAAGUUAGUUUAAUAGAGGAAACAUCAUACUAUCAAAGUAUAGAAGUGUUAAUCAUGUUAAUUUUUUUUAUAGUUAAAGCUGAAUAGUUAAAAAUAUUAGAUUCUUUAAAGUAGUGAAGGUAAUAUACAAAAAGAACGGUAGUAAACCUUUUGGAACUUUGGAAAAGGAAAGAGUGUCUGUCAUGGAAAUUGGAACUGAUGGAGUAAGUUUGAGUUAAUCAAUUAGCAUAUGCUUAAUACACUUUUAGACAUUUUUUUUCCAAAAGACAUUUUGAGUAAUCAUUGCAGGGGAGCUUAGGCGUCUUAACAUAGUAUUAAAAUUUUCACUUGCAGCUAGAUAUAUACUCGUCCAAACAUACUGAGCAAGAAAUAGACCAAAAUUUCAAAAGUUGGAACAGUGAAAACAUAUAAUUCGGCUAGCAAUGGUGACCACAAUGACAAUGGUAUGGAGACAAAUGUUAGAAAGUUAAGGUGUAAUCAAUUGAGAUGGAUACCAACUAUCCCUUAUCCAAAACAUUGAAGUCAAAAAGAGACCUUUCGUAAUAAAUUAAAUUAGGAGAAUAGAGAGUGAGGGAUAAAGAC
RNAcentral lists this long non-coding RNA (8786 nucleotides) under Nicotiana tabacum (common tobacco). RNAcentral describes it as "long non-coding RNA (NTAB_LNC002668)". Lineage: Eukaryota; Viridiplantae; Streptophyta; Magnoliopsida; Solanales; Solanaceae. The record is from RNAcentral.